AAACUUACAAAAAUAGGUCUCAGUUCGGACUGUAGGCUGCAACUCGCCUACACGAAGUUGGAAUUGCUAGUAAUCGUGGAUCAGCAUGCCACGGUGAAUACGUUCCCGGGUCUUGUACACACCGCCCGUCGCGCCAUGGGAGCUGGUAACACCCGAAGUCAGUAGUCUAACCGCAAGGAGGACGCUGCCGAAGGUGGGAUUAGCGACUGGGGUGAAGUCGUAACAAGGUAAC
RNAcentral lists this ribosomal RNA (232 nucleotides) under uncultured bacterium. RNAcentral's name for it is "partial 16S ribosomal RNA". It matches the Rfam family "Bacterial small subunit ribosomal RNA", at positions 1269 to 1500 of the family's 1533-position model. The record is from RNAcentral.